RNAcentral lists this ribosomal RNA (600 nucleotides) under Halococcus hamelinensis. Its description in RNAcentral is "bacterial SSU rRNA". It matches the Rfam family "Archaeal small subunit ribosomal RNA", at positions 32 to 634 of the family's 1478-position model. The record is from RNAcentral. Lineage: Archaea; Methanobacteriati; Methanobacteriota; Halobacteria; Halobacteriales; Halococcaceae.
GGCGGGGAUCGAUUAGCAUGCUAGUCGUACGAGUUCAGACUCGUGGCGUAUAGCUCAGUAACACGUGGUCAAACCACCCUCUGGACCGGGAUACCCUCGGGAAACUGAGGUCAAUCCCGGAUACCGCUUUCACGUUGGAAAAACGGAAAGCUGGAAACGGUCCGCCGCCGGAGGACGUGACUGCGGCCGAUUAGGUAGACGGUGGGGUAACGGCCCACCGUGCCAAUAAUCGGUACGGGUUGUGAGAGCAAGAGCCCGGAGACGGAAUCUGAGACAAGAUUCCGGGCCCUACGGGGCGCAGCAGCCGCGAAACCUUUACACUGCACGACAGUGCGAUAAGGGGAUCCCGAGUGCGAGGGCAUACAGUCCUCGCUUUUCGUGACCGUAAGGUGGUCACAGAAUAAGGGCUGGGCAAGACCGGUGCCAGCCGCCGCGGUAAUACCGGCAGCCCGAGUGAUAGCCAAUUUUAUUGGGCCUAAAGCGUCCGUAGCCGGCCGAACGGGUCCGUCGGGAAAUCCACCCGCUUAACGGGUGGGCGUCCGGCGGAAACCAGUCGGCUUGGGGCCGGGAGACCAGAGGGGUACGUCCGGGGUAGGAGUG